Molecule: transfer RNA, 71 nt
Filed under: Ochthebius peisonis
Lineage: Eukaryota; Metazoa; Arthropoda; Insecta; Coleoptera; Hydraenidae
Description: tRNA-Lys
Source: RNAcentral
CAUUAGAUGACUGAAAGUAAGUACUGGUCUCUUAAACCAUUUAAUAAUAGGUUAACGUCUAUUUCUAAUGA